Molecule: ribosomal RNA, 977 nt
Filed under: Enterococcus faecium
Lineage: Bacteria; Bacillati; Bacillota; Bacilli; Lactobacillales; Enterococcaceae
Description: bacterial SSU rRNA
Rfam family: Bacterial small subunit ribosomal RNA
Source: RNAcentral
CUCCACCGGAAAAAGAGGAGUGGCGAACGGGUGAGUAACACGUGGGUAACCUGCCCAUCAGAAGGGGAUAACACUUGGAAACAGGUGCUAAUACCGUAUAACAAUCAAAACCGCAUGGUUUUGAUUUGAAAGGCGCUUUCGGGUGUCGCUGAUGGAUGGACCCGCGGUGCAUUAGCUAGUUGGUGAGGUAACGGCUCACCAAGGCCACGAUGCAUAGCCGACCUGAGAGGGUGAUCGGCCACAUUGGGACUGAGACACGGCCCAAACUCCUACGGGAGGCAGCAGUAGGGAAUCUUCGGCAAUGGACGAAAGUCUGACCGAGCAACGCCGCGUGAGUGAAGAAGGUUUUCGGAUCGUAAAACUCUGUUGUUAGAGAAGAACAAGGAUGAGAGUAACUGUUCAUCCCUUGACGGUAUCUAACCAGAAAGCCACGGCUAACUACGUGCCAGCAGCCGCGGUAAUACGUAGGUGGCAAGCGUUGUCCGGAUUUAUUGGGCGUAAAGCGAGCGCAGGCGGUUUCUUAAGUCUGAUGUGAAAGCCCCCGGCUCAACCGGGGAGGGUCAUUGGAAACUGGGAGACUUGAGUGCAGAAGAGGAGAGUGGAAUUCCAUGUGUAGCGGUGAAAUGCGUAGAUAUAUGGAGGAACACCAGUGGCGAAGGCGGCUCUCUGGUCUGUAACUGACGCUGAGGCUCGAAAGCGUGGGGAGCAAACAGGAUUAGAUACCCUGGUAGUCCACGCCGUAAACGAUGAGUGCUAAGUGUUGGAGGGUUUCCGCCCUUCAGUGCUGCAGCUAACGCAUUUAAGCACUCCGCCUGGGGGAGUACGACCGCAAGGGUUGAAACUCAAAGGAAUUGACGGGGGCCCGCACAAGCGGUGGGAGCAUGUGGUUUUAAUUCGAAGCAACGCGAAGAACCUUUACCAAGGUCUUGACAUCCUUUGACCACUCUAGAGAUAGAGCCUUCCCCUUCGGGGGGCAA